Molecule: small nuclear RNA, 105 nt
Organism: Myotis lucifugus (little brown bat)
Lineage: Eukaryota; Metazoa; Chordata; Mammalia; Chiroptera; Vespertilionidae
Source: Ensembl
GCGCUGGCUUCACAGCACAUAUACUAAAACUGGAACACUACAGAGAAGAUUAGCAUGGCCCUUAUGCAAGAAUGACACCUGAUUCAUGAAGUAUUCCAUAUUUGA